CUCAACUGAUCCCAAUUAACCUAAGCAGAAGGUGGCAAUUUGGGCAAGAUUUAGAACACAGCAUAAAGAAACCUUCUUCAAAAGGUCCAGGCUCCCUGCUGCUAUCAGCACAGCCCAAGCAUGGGCUGAGGACCACGAGCUGCAGUAUGGUGGUAGGUGGGAAGUGCUGCAAAACAUGUGGCAGAGCUGAGGAGGUUUUCGGCAAGGACGUUUUAAGCUCCCAGGUAUAUUGGAACACGUGCUGGAAAAUAGCAACUGCUUACAGAUUCACUCAGCUUUACAAGGAAGAAGGUCUUACUCCUAUCCGGUCAUCUGAAACCACAAUCCAAUUCUAACAAAGAUGCAUUGAGCUCAAGGAGGGAUUUCCAGAUUGUGUUACAUCCCUCACCACUGGUGAUAGAAAAUUACUUCAAAGCAUUAUGAAAAGGCUAAUUGAAUAGCUAAAUUUCUCCUCAGACACACGUGUGUGUCCCAUGCACAGAGCCUGGCACUGCAGCAUGACAGGAGUAAAUUAUAUCUGGUAACUUGGGAGCAUCAGCCCCGCAAGACUGAAGAUGACAAUUUCGUGGACAGUUGUGGCAGAAUCCAUCUGAAAGAAGAGCACUUUGCCUUUCUGAUCAGCAUCACGUUCAUCCUCCCCGAAUUCAGCCUUUGCCUGCUGCUCGUGGUCCACAAGCCCAUUUCUUUGUAAGCCUGACAAGAAGUUUGCGGAGUUGAUGCAUAACUUUAUCUUUCCAAGAAAAUGCCAUCUGUAUUAAACGCUAAAAUUAACCAAGGCUAAUUGGUUGCCACACACAGAGCAUGCUAUGCUCUGCUGGAUAAAGUAACAAAUGCAUUAGUAGAUCUAAGCUGCUCCAUUAUUCUCUAUUACAGAAAGUAUGCUCACCCUAUUAAACUCAUGGUGUUUGAGCCACGCUGCUGCUUGCUCCUACACACCAAACACAGCCACCUCAGUCGGCCCCAAGCACAACGGCUCAGAAUCAGCCAGAAUGAAACAAACCUAUUUAAAAUACAAAUGCAUGUUCUGACCUUUCACAUAUCUUGGAAGUUAGUUGCAAUUAGAGCUUCAUUUCUCUAAGUCUCCAAGAAAGCUACCGAUAUUGAAUAGUACAACUUUUGUAUUGAUUUGUGCUUCCCAGGACAACGCUGCUGUUUUCUUUCAGUGCCUUUAUGCGGGAUGACCCCAGUCACCAGCAGAGCUCCACAGAGAAUAGGAUACUGCCAUCAGUUAUCUCCCCUUUUCUGGACAAGACAAGCAGCAAACCAGAGGCACAGCAAAGGGCUGAGAGCAGUGAGUGCUUAGUGCCACUGCCCCUUCUACAUUAGCACAGGAAGCUGCU
This 1340-nucleotide long non-coding RNA is filed under the name Numida meleagris (helmeted guineafowl). Its description in RNAcentral is "lncRNA (ENSNMEG00000020906.1)". The record is from RNAcentral. Lineage: Eukaryota; Metazoa; Chordata; Aves; Galliformes; Numididae.